GCCUGGGUGGCUCAGUUGGUUAAGCGUCUGACUUCAGCUCAGGUCAUGAUCUUAUUUAUGGUCUGUGAGUUCGAGCCCCAUGUCAGGCU
This 89-nucleotide transfer RNA is filed under the name Felis catus (domestic cat). It matches the Rfam family "tRNA". Rfam says of the family: Transfer RNA (tRNA) molecules are approximately 80 nucleotides in length. Their secondary structure includes four short double-helical elements and three loops (D, anti-codon, and T loops). Lineage: Eukaryota; Metazoa; Chordata; Mammalia; Carnivora; Felidae. The record is from Rfam by way of RNAcentral.